Balaenoptera ricei (Rice's whale) is the source of this 832-nucleotide long non-coding RNA. RefSeq lists it as uncharacterized. The record is from RefSeq and is a predicted model, not a curated record. NCBI's taxonomy places the organism in Eukaryota, Metazoa, Chordata, Mammalia, Artiodactyla, Balaenopteridae. The transcript is spliced from 4 exons.
CUGCGGCAGGGACCCUGGGGCCUCGUCACCAGCAGGAGCCCAGUGCUUUCUCUGGGUGCGGCGCUCUCCCUUCUGUGCAGUGAGGCCUGCAGCUGGCCAGAGCUUGCGACCCGCACGCCUGGGGGCUCCCCUCCCAGCCCACCACCCAGACUCCGGUGACGGCAGACAGAGCAGGGCUGGCCUCAGGGCUCCAGAGAUGGAGAGGAAGCCAGGCACCACGUCGCCCUGAGUUGCGACAGGUGCAGUGAGUACCUGCCUGGAGAGGACGGUGGGGGAACACAUCGCGGAAGGACCAGGCCCCCUCCCGGCACUGGGACCCUCUGUUUCUCCCUGGAAAGGAUGAGCGAGCCACGUGGCAGAGCCCAGUGGUCUCAAGCGAGCCAGCAAGGUUGCCUUCUACAACCAGGGACGGAGAGGUGCGUUUAUGGGGUACCAACCACACAUGCCGAGCGCCUGCUCUGUGCGGGGUGCCAAGAGAGAAAGAAGACUUUCCAUACCCCCCACAGUAUGCCCAGCGACCCUGCGGGGCUACAGUUACAGCCCACGUCCCCCUGCGGCAGAGCCGAAAUGAAGCCCACCUGCCCGACCUCAGACUCCCUGCGGCACUGACCUUUCUUAGUGACGCACAAACCCAAGCCCAGAGGAUCUGAGGUAGCACGGAGCUAGUUGGAAAUGGAGUCGGGACUGAAAUCCAAGUCACCCUGACUCACUGCAAAGUGGUCAUUCCUUUCCACCAUAGAGGACCGCUUGGAAGGGGGACCGCAGCUCCUGAGAGCCUAAUUCACGCCCAGAAGUGACCUCGACUCUCGCCUGGCACACAGGAGGCAUUUGU